AACAUGAGAGUUUGAUCCUGGCUCAGAAUCAACGCUGGCGGCGUGCCUAACACAUGCAAGUCGAACGCGAAAGCGGGCUUCGGCCCGCAAGUAGAGUGGCAAACGGGUGAGUAACGCGUGGGUGACCUACCUUCGAGUGGGGGAUAACGUUCCGAAAGGAGCGCUAAUACCGCAUGACAUCCCGUCUUUGGAAAGAUGGUGAUCAAAGCUGGGGAUCGCAAGACCUGGCGCUUGUUGAGGGGCCCGCGUCCGAUUAGCUUGUUGGCGGGGUAAGAGCCCACCAAGGCGACAAUCGGUAGCCGGCCUGAGAGGGCGGACGGCCACACUGGGACUGAGACACGGCCCAGACUCCUACGGGAGGCAGCAGUGGGGAAUUGUUCGCAAUGGGCG
Molecule: ribosomal RNA, 390 nt
Filed under: Acidobacteriota bacterium
Lineage: Bacteria; Pseudomonadati; Acidobacteriota
Description: bacterial SSU rRNA
Rfam family: Bacterial small subunit ribosomal RNA
Source: RNAcentral